RNAcentral lists this ribosomal RNA (908 nucleotides) under Aspergillus delicatus. Its description in RNAcentral is "LSU rRNA". It matches the Rfam family "Eukaryotic large subunit ribosomal RNA", at positions 38 to 960 of the family's 3401-position model. Lineage: Eukaryota; Fungi; Ascomycota; Eurotiomycetes; Eurotiales; Aspergillaceae. The record is from RNAcentral.
GCAUAUCAAUAAGCGGAGGAAAAGAAACCAACAGGGAUUGCCUCAGUAACGGCGAAGUGAAGCGGCAAGAGCUCAAAUUUGAAAGCUGGCCCCUUCGGGGUCCGCGUUGUAAUUUGCAGAGGAUGCUUCGGGUGCAGCCCCCGUCUAAGUGCCCUGGAACGGGCCGUCAUAGAGGGUGAGAAUCCCGUCUGGGACGGGGUGUCUGCGUCCGUGUGAAGCUCCUUCGACGAGUCGAGUUGUUUGGGAAUGCAGCUCUAAAUGGGUGGUAAAUUUCAUCUAAAGCUAAAUACUGGCCGGAGACCGAUAGCGCACAAGUAGAGUGAUCGAAAGAUGAAAAGCACUUUGAAAAGAGAGUUAAACAGCACGUGAAAUUGUUGAAAGGGAAGCGUUUGCGACCAGACUCGCCCGCGGGGUUCAGCCGGCAUUCGUGCCGGUGUACUUCCCCGUGGGCGGGCCAGCGUCGGUUUGGGCGGCCGGUCAAAGGCCCUCGGAAUGUAUCACCCCUCGGGGUGUCUUAUAGCCGAGGGUGCAAUGCGGCCUGCCCGGACCGAGGAACGCGCUUCGGCUCGGACGCUGGCGUAAUGGUCGUAAAUGACCCGUCUUGAAACACGGACCAAGGAGUCUAACAUCUACGCGAGUGUUCGGGUGUCAAACCCGUACGCGCAGUGAAAGCGAACGGAGGUGGGAGCCCCCUCGCGGGGCGCACCAUCGACCGAUCCUGAUGUCUUCGGAUGGAUUUGAGUACGAGCGUAGCUGUGGGGACCCGAAAGAUGGUGAACUAUGCCUGAAUAGGGCGAAGCCAGAGGAAACUCUGGUGGAGGCUCGCAGCGGUUCUGACGUGCAAAUCGAUCGUCAAAUUUGGGUAUAGGGGCGAAAGACUAAUCGAACCAUCUAGUAGCUGGUUCUGC